CACGUAGGGGGCAAGCGUUGUCCGGAUUCAUUGGGCGUAAAGAGCUCGUAGGCGGCUCAGCAAGUCGGGUGUGAAAUCUCCAGGCUCAACCUGGAGACGCCACUCGAUACUGCUGUGGCUAGAGUCCAGUAGGGGAGCGUGGAAUUCCUGGUGUAGCGGUGAAAUGCGCAGAUAUCAGGAGGAACACCAGCGGCGAAGGCGGCGCUCUGGGCUGGAACUGACGCUGAGGAGCGAAAGCGUGGGGAGCAAACAGG
RNAcentral lists this ribosomal RNA (254 nucleotides) under uncultured bacterium. RNAcentral's name for it is "partial 16S ribosomal RNA". It matches the Rfam family "Bacterial small subunit ribosomal RNA", at positions 524 to 776 of the family's 1533-position model. The record is from RNAcentral.